Molecule: ribosomal RNA, 506 nt
Filed under: uncultured bacterium
Lineage: Bacteria
Description: bacterial SSU rRNA
Rfam family: Bacterial small subunit ribosomal RNA
Source: RNAcentral
ACUCAAAGGAAUUGACGGGGGCUCACACAAGCGGAGGAGCAUGUUGUUCAAUUCGAAGCAACGCGAAGAACCUUACCUGGGUUUGACAUGCGCGAAGUAGGAACCCGAAAGGGCAACGAUCCGGGCAACCGGAAAACGUGCACAGGUGCUGCAUGGCUGUCGUCAGCUCGUGUCGUGAGACGUUAGGUUAAGUCCUGUAACGAGCGAAACCCUUGUCGUCUGUUGCUACCGGGUCAUGCCGGGCACUCUGACGAGACUGCCAGUGUUAAGCUGGAGGAAGGUGGGGACGACGUCAAGUCAUCAUGGUCCUUACACCCAGGGCUACAAACGUGCUACAAUGGCCGGUACAGAGAGUCGCAAAGUCGCGAGGCAGAGCAAAUCUUCAAAACCGGCCCCAGUUCAGAUUGGAGGCUGAAAUUCGCCUCCAUGAAGUCGGAUUCGCUAGUAAUCGCGGAUCAGCUACGCCGCGGUGAAUACCGUUCCUGAGCCUUGUACACACCGCCCGU